AGAAUCAACGCUGGCGGCGUGCCUAACACAUGCAAGUCGCACGAGAAAGGGGAGCAAUCCCUGAGUAAAGUGGCGCACGGGUGAGUAACACGUGAAUAAUCUACCUCCGAGUGGGGAAUAACUGAGAGAAAUCUUAGCUAAUACCGCAUAACACUUACGAGUCAAAGCAGCAAUGCGCUUGGAGAGGAGUUCGCGGCCGAUUAGUUAGUUGGCGGGGUAAUGGCCCACCAAGACGAUGAUCGGUAUCCGGCCUGAGAGGGCGCACGGACACACUGGAACUGAAACACGGUCCAGACUCCUACGGGAGGCAGCAGUGGGGAAUUUUGCGCAAUGGGGGAAACCCUGACGCAGCAACGCCGCGUGGAGGAUGAGGCCCCUUGGGGUGUAAACUCCUUUCGAUCGGGAAGAUAAUGACGGUACCGAUAUAAGAAGCCCCGGCUAACUUCGUGCCAGCAGCCGC
This 460-nucleotide ribosomal RNA is filed under the name uncultured bacterium. RNAcentral's name for it is "SSU rRNA". It matches the Rfam family "Bacterial small subunit ribosomal RNA", at positions 26 to 518 of the family's 1533-position model. The record is from RNAcentral.